UACGGAGGGUGCAAGCGUUGCUCGGAAUUAUUGGGCGUAAAGGGUAGGUAGGUGGUCUUAUUUGUCUGUGGUGAAAGCCUUGGGCUUAACCCAAGAAGUGCCUCGGAAACGGCAAGACUAGAGUACUGGAGAGGGUCGCAGAAUUCCCGGUGUAGCGGUGAAAUGCGUAGAGAUCGGGAGGAAUACCAGAGGCGAAAGCGGCGGCCUGGACAGUUACUGACACUCAACUGCGAAAGCGUGGGGAUCAAACAGG
RNAcentral lists this ribosomal RNA (253 nucleotides) under uncultured bacterium. RNAcentral describes it as "partial 16S ribosomal RNA". It matches the Rfam family "Bacterial small subunit ribosomal RNA", at positions 524 to 776 of the family's 1533-position model. The record is from RNAcentral.